GAGUUAAUUUAUGAGUUUUGAAAACUUUUUUUAGAUUUUUUGUCUUUAACUUU
RNAcentral lists this transfer RNA (53 nucleotides) under Onchocerca lupi. RNAcentral's name for it is "tRNA-Ser". Lineage: Eukaryota; Metazoa; Nematoda; Chromadorea; Rhabditida; Onchocercidae. The record is from RNAcentral.